Molecule: long non-coding RNA, 751 nt
Organism: Coffea arabica (coffee)
Lineage: Eukaryota; Viridiplantae; Streptophyta; Magnoliopsida; Gentianales; Rubiaceae
Source: RefSeq, a predicted model, not a curated record
UCAUCUUGUAAGUUACCAACCAAAACCGGCCCAAAUUUACCACUCUUACCACUACCAAGAGGCCCGGCCUUCGGGUUUUCAAUUUCAACAAUCAGCAACGAGAAAGCCAGCAGUGAGAAUAUACGAGAAAAACAGACAAAGAAGUGAAGAAGAGUCAUGAGAUCAGCGAGAUGGGGCUAUUUUAGAAUCAUCACAGGCACCAUUAUUGGUGGCAUUUUUGGCUUCUAUGUUAUGCACCUUGCUGAACUCAAGUACAAGGAGAUGUGGAAUGAAAGACUGAAGAAGUAUGAGGAAGAGCUGAAUAGGAAGAAAAUUGCAGAGCAAUCCAAUGAAUUUCAAGAAUCCCUAUAGCAUUGUUCUGCUGGAUGUAAUAAAAAUAUGUUGGAGUCCUGUUCCCGUUUGGUGAAAGCCUCGCAUUAUGCUUCUCAUUGUAGAAAGACAUUUUUGCCUUCUUUCUAGAAAUGAUUGCUCUGUAGCUGGUCAGUUGUAGAUUGUGAUUUCUUUUUAUCUGAAACUUGGUUGAUGUUUUGAAAGCAACCCUCACUCGCAAUUUUACCCUUGUCUGGUGUAGACCUUGAUGCUAUUUGUAAGCCUGGGCGGCCACAGUUAUAUGUACAUCAAGUUCAUAUCUUGAUGGUAUUUUUGAACACAGUUGCUCUUUUGCCGAAGAAACGAGUACUUCUUGAUUCAAUGUUUCUGUUUCUAUGUUGCUUUAGUGGUGGAAUUAAAAGGUUAUGUUACUUGCGUGUUC